UGUCUUGUUCCUCGAUUCUCUCUCCUAACCAAUGCCUCCCUCAACAAGGCGCACUGAGGAAGAAAGAGCUUCCUUGUUGUGGACGAAUGACAAUGAAAGAGCAAGAGAAGAAGGGAGAGAGAGUUUUUCAAGAAGGGAGGACCACAGGCAGAGACUGAGGAAAAAUGGUUCUAGCUGUUCUUCAUACUAUUCUGCUUCUUCAACAGGUGACCUUGAUUUUGACAGUGAACUGCAGAUUGAGGAUGAACAUUUUGAAGAAGAAUUGUCAAGGAAACAUGGAAGAGAUUUGAGGAGUGAAGGUGUUUCAGUGGAGGAAAGAGAUCGGAAUUACACUGCUAAACAAGGGGUUGUUUCACGGAAGAAUGAUUCUGCAGUGGGAUUGUAUAGUGCAACUGGUGACUG
RNAcentral lists this unclassified non-coding RNA (402 nucleotides) under Hevea brasiliensis (rubber tree). The record is from RNAcentral. Lineage: Eukaryota; Viridiplantae; Streptophyta; Magnoliopsida; Malpighiales; Euphorbiaceae.